Long non-coding RNA from Hypanus sabinus (Atlantic stingray), 682 nucleotides. RefSeq lists it as uncharacterized. The transcript is spliced from 3 exons. The record is from RefSeq and is a predicted model, not a curated record. Lineage: Eukaryota; Metazoa; Chordata; Chondrichthyes; Myliobatiformes; Dasyatidae.
GGGGAGACUGACCUGUGAGUGUGGAAAGCCGCUGCCGACCUGUGGAGUCCGGGUGGAGAGCCGCUGCAGACCUGCGGGGAGUCCUGGUCCGUUGAGCCGCUGUCGACCUGCGGUGAAUCCUGGUCCGAAGAACCGCUGCUAGGAAGACUGCGCGCGCACACAUAUGUGCUCACCUUUCAGACGGGUGUUAUUCGCUGGCUGUGCACCAGUUGUACCCAGAGGUGGCGUUCUGUACUUUCUCUACUCCUGGGAAAUAGAGCAGAACAAGGUCGGCCCACUGACUCACUCGCAGCGAGUUACAGCCACACCUCAGCACACAAGGAAGACUUCGGCCGAGGAAGUUCAAAUGGCUUCGCUUUAAACUUGCUGAUCCUUAUGUCAAAACGACCUUGACUUCACCUACUUGGACCCAGAGCACAAAGUAAAAGGGUUUGGAUCCAAGUACAAAAGGAAAAUUUGAGGUUCCAGGAGACAGACUACCGGAGUUUUGAUUUCAGCAGCUGUGGACUCCUGCCAUCAGUGAAGGCUGCCCCCCUUGCUUGAGUGUGGGCAGAGGGGGGUGAACAUUGUGUUGCCCAGUUUUUUAAAAAAUCUGUUUUGUGAGAAGAGUCUGUGAAAGCCAGGAGAAAUGAGUGAAUUCUGGUUGUGUUUUGGCUGCUCAGAAGUGGAGAAGGCGCAACCG